GGGCACCUGGGCACAGCGCCGACCUUCUCUUCCGUUUGCAGUUCACUGCAUAAUUGUGCAAAUGAGGAAAAAAAAGAUUUAUUUUUCACAAGAAGAAAUGUGUAGCGUGUAGAGAUGGCUAGUUUGAGUUACUUCUGCAGCCGGUCCCUCUAGGGGGCUAUCUUCAUCUUUCCUACUAACGUCCACCACCAAAGGAAAGGUGCCCGAAAGCCAAGGAGGAGCUGCCUGGUCCCUGGCAGAACCUCACUGAGCCCUGUCAUGGGAUCUGCACGCAUUAACCUUGGCUGACUUCAGGGUGAGGUGUGCUGCCCCCUCCCCAAACCUCUGGCUCUCCCCCCUCCCCAAGGGUUUGCAAUAAUCCUGAUAUGUGGGCCCAUUUUUCUUUGAAAGCUUUUGUUAUCAUUGAAUAGAUCUCUGCUUUUGAAGGGUCAGGGGUUUCUGAUAUUUUUUUUUCCCUCUCCUCUCCCUGUCCCUGCAAAGAAGAGAACCAAUAAAUUUUAGGGUUGUCUGUGCGUGUAGACUCUGUCAUCCGUAUGUAACUUGUUUCUGAAGAGAAGUGUUUCCGUUGUGGGUGUGUCUCGCUGUAAAUACUUGUUCAUAUUUUUGUGAAUUCAAUACUAUGUACCAUUGUAUUAUAGUAACUUUUAUAAAGCAAACCAUAAAUAUACUGACUUUUCUUACAGCUA
Molecule: long non-coding RNA, 686 nt
Filed under: Rattus norvegicus (Norway rat)
Lineage: Eukaryota; Metazoa; Chordata; Mammalia; Rodentia; Muridae
Description: long non-coding RNA NONRATT007975
Source: RNAcentral